Long non-coding RNA from Gasterosteus aculeatus aculeatus (three-spined stickleback), 968 nucleotides. The record is from Ensembl. Lineage: Eukaryota; Metazoa; Chordata; Actinopteri; Perciformes; Gasterosteidae.
CGCUGAGCGCCAAACGGCUGCAGCAUCAGACACACAGGUGAUGACGGUGUUCGUGGAAUCCCUCUGUAGUAGUUCACAUAUACUACGGUCAUGUUGGCCAUAGAUUAAGAGCCGUUUGACGGAAUAACUUUCGCGGAGAAACUCGAGGUGAAAGAGGUGGACCGGGAUCAGCCGGACCUCACGAUCAGACAACGGACCGGUGUGAAAGGGAAGCCGAGGUUUCUACGCCGGGAGGUUUAGCUAGUUAGCUACGUGCUAACCGCCGGUCCGCAUGACGUCACCGCGCUAAAGUUAACAUCGCUGCCCAGCUGCGACGCACACAGGACCGCGGACCUCUGACCUAUGGAGUGCAAAAAGGUCAACGCCAAGUCAAGGUGCAUGUGGAUCACCUUCGGGCAUCUAAAGCUUCAACACGUCCAAGCAGAAUGGAUGACAGUGAUUUCCUGGACUGCACAGCAAGCUCUGAGGACCAAGCAGAAAGCACGGAGGAAGAAGAUGCAGCUGCUAGUGCAUCUCCGGAAGCUCAACCGGAGCGCCGCUAUCCUGAAAGACAGCCAACAGCACCAGAAAGACUGAAUCUCUAAAUGUUCAUGUAGAGAUAAUGACUUAUUUAGUCAGUAAUUAUGUUCAGACUGCUUACUGUUAUGAUUAUGAAGUUUAGGGUAUGUUACUGUUAAUUGAACCCUGCAUAUGUAGUUUAAGGAAUGACUAAUGCAAUGAAGUAUGUAGUCUGGCUAUGUAUGUUAUAAUCUAGGAGGGAGGAGUGUAGUAGUUCACAUAUACUACGGUAAUGUUGGCCAUAGUAUUAAGGUAAUUACGGUAAUUAUCUUCUCCCUGUACGUGCGCCCUUCCUUCACCUACAAAUAUUACAAAACUGUUUAUUUAACUGCAAAGUAAUGAUGUGUAUUUGAUACCCUUUUUUGCGUUGAAUCAUACAGGGAUGUUUACUGAAACUGAUUGGCUGGCAA